GACGAACGCUGGCGGCGUGCUUAAUACAUGCAAGUCGUACGGUCAGGCCCUUUCGGUGGUACUCGAGUGUUGACCGGGUGCGUAACACGUGCGUAACCUGCCCACACCUUUGGGACUGCGCUAGGAACCUGGUGCCAAUACUAGAUAUGUGCUCUUUCUUCAUGGUCGGGGUUCGAUAGCUCCGGCGGUUGUGGAUGGACUCGCGGCCUAUCUGCUUGCUGGUGGGGUAGUGGCCUACCAAGGCGGCGUAGGGUAGCCGGCCUGAGAGGGUGACCGGCCACAUUGGGACUGAGGUACGGCCCAGACAGCGACGGGAGGGAGCAGGGGGGAAGAUUGCACAAGGGGCGCAAGCCGGAUGCAGCAGCGCCGCGGGCGGGAUGACGGCGUUCGGGUUGAAAACCGAUUGCAGCAGGGACGAAGCGUGUUGUGACGGUACCUGCAGAAGAAGCACCGGCUAACUACGUG
Molecule: ribosomal RNA, 465 nt
Filed under: uncultured bacterium
Lineage: Bacteria
Description: partial 16S ribosomal RNA
Rfam family: Bacterial small subunit ribosomal RNA
Source: RNAcentral